GAUAAACGCUGGCGACGUGCUUAACACAUGCAAGUCGAACGAAGUUUUUCCUUCGGGAGAAACUUAGUGGCGGACGGGUGAGUAACGCGUGGGUAACCUGCCCUGUACAGGGGGACAACAGCUGUAAACGGCUGCUAAUACCGCAUAAGCCCUUAGCACUGCAUGGUGCAUAGGGAAAAGGAGCAAUCCGGUACAGGAUGGACCCGCGUCUGAUUAGCCAGUUGGCAGGGUAACGGCCUACCAAAGCGACGAUCAGUAGCCGAUCUGAGAGGAUGUACGGCCACAUUGGGACUGAGACACGGCCCAGACUCCUACGGGAGGCAGCAGUGGGGAAUAUUGCACAAUGGAGGAAACUCUGAUGCAGCGACGCCGCGUGAGUGAAGAAGUAUUUCGGUAUGUAAAGCUCUAUCAGCAGGGAAGAAAAUGACGGUACCUGACUAAGAAGCACCGGCUAAAUACGU
RNAcentral lists this ribosomal RNA (461 nucleotides) under uncultured bacterium. RNAcentral's name for it is "partial 16S ribosomal RNA". It matches the Rfam family "Bacterial small subunit ribosomal RNA", at positions 28 to 506 of the family's 1533-position model. The record is from RNAcentral.